Molecule: ribosomal RNA, 641 nt
Filed under: Pseudonocardia sp. I12A-02574
Lineage: Bacteria; Bacillati; Actinomycetota; Actinomycetes; Pseudonocardiales; Pseudonocardiaceae
Description: bacterial SSU rRNA
Rfam family: Bacterial small subunit ribosomal RNA
Source: RNAcentral
GGCGAACGGGUGAGUAACACGUGGGUGACCUGCCCCCAACUCUGGGAUAAGCCCGGGAAACUGGGUCUAAUACCGGAUAUGACCUCUCAUCGCAUGGUGGGUGGUGGAAAGUUUUUCGGUUGGGGAUGGGCCCGCGGCCUAUCAGCUUGUUGGUGGGGUGAUGGCCUACCAAGGCGACGACGGGUAGCCGGCCUGAGAGGGCGACCGGCCACACUGGGACUGAGACACGGCCCAGACUCCUACGGGAGGCAGCAGUGGGGAAUAUUGCGCAAUGGGCGAAAGCCUGACGCAGCGACGCCGCGUGGGGGAUGACGGCCUUCGGGUUGUAAACCUCUUUCGCCAGGGACGAAGCGCAAGUGACGGUACCUGGAUAAGAAGCACCGGCCAACUACGUGCCAGCAGCCGCGGUAAUACGUAGGGUGCGAGCGUUGUCCGGAAUUAUUGGGCGUAAAGAGCUCGUAGGCGGUCUGUCGCGUCGGUCGUGAAAACUUGGGGCUUAACCCUGAGCUUGCGGUCGAUACGGGCAUGACUGGAGUUCGGCAGGGGAGACUGGAAUUCCUGGUGUAGCGGUGAAAUGCGCAGAUAUCAGGAGGAACACCGGUGGCGAAGGCGGGUCUCUGGGCCGAUACUGACGCUGAGGA